RNAcentral lists this ribosomal RNA (378 nucleotides) under Rhipicephalus turanicus. Its description in RNAcentral is "partial 12S ribosomal RNA". The record is from RNAcentral. Lineage: Eukaryota; Metazoa; Arthropoda; Arachnida; Ixodida; Ixodidae.
AAACUAGGAUUAGAUACCCUAUUAUUAAAACCUUAAAUUGGUAAGUAAUAAAGAUUAUGAAAGCAAAAAAUUAUGGCGGUAUUUUAAGCUUUUCAGAGGAAUUUGCUCUUUAAUGGAUAAAACACCUAAAUCUUACUUAAAUUUGUUAAUUCAAUUUGUAUACCACUAUAAAAACAAUUUAUAACUUUAAUUGUUGAUAUUUAUUAAAUUAAAAUAUAUUAAGUCAAGGUGCAGUAAAAAUUUAAGGAUGAAGUGAAUUACAUUACUUUUUAGAGAAAUAAAUUUAAAAUAAUAUUUAGGAUUUGAAAGUAAAAUUAAAAUAUAAUGUUAAUUUGAAUUAAGCUCUAAAAUAUGUACACAUCGCCCGUCGCUCUCAUU